AAUAUUGGACAAGGGGGGCAACCCUGAUCCAGCCAUGCCUCGUGAGUGAAGAUGGUCUUCGGAAUGUAAAGCACGUUAAGUUGGGAGGAAGGGCAUUAGUGUCAUACCCUGAAGUAUUGACUUUACCAACAGAAUAAGCACCGGCUAACUCUGUCCCAUCAGCCGCGGUAAUACAGAGGGUGCAAGCGUUAACAGGAAUUACUGGGCGUAAAGCGCGCGUAGGUGGUUCAGUAAGAUGGGUGUGAAAUCCCCGGGCUUAACCUGGGAACUGCUUUCAUAACUGCUGAGCUAGAGUACGGUAGAGGGUAGUGGAAUUUCCUGUGUAGCGGUGAAAUGCGUAGAUAUAGGGAGGAACACCAGUGGCGAAGGCGACUACCUGGACUGAUACUGACACUGAGGUGCGAAAGCGUGGGGAGCAAAC
RNAcentral lists this ribosomal RNA (421 nucleotides) under uncultured bacterium. RNAcentral describes it as "partial 16S ribosomal RNA". It matches the Rfam family "Bacterial small subunit ribosomal RNA", at positions 360 to 773 of the family's 1533-position model. The record is from RNAcentral.